GAUGAACGCUGGCGGCGUGCUUAACACAUGCAAGUCGAACGGGCCCAUUCUUCGGACUGGGUUAGUGGCAGACGGGUGCGUAACACGUAGGUGACCUGCCCUGAAGUGGGGAAUAAUCCCGCGAAAGCGGGACUAAUACCGCAUGUGCUCGGCGAUUCGGUUCGCCGAGUAAAGCUCGUAAGGGCGCUUCGGGAUGGGCCUGCGGCGGAUUAGGUAGUUGGUGGGGUAAUGGCCUACCAAGCCGAUGAUCCGUAGGGGGCGUGAGAGCGUGACCCCCCACACUGGCACUGAGAUACGGGCCAGACUCCUACGGGAGGCAG
RNAcentral lists this ribosomal RNA (320 nucleotides) under uncultured Chloroflexota bacterium. RNAcentral's name for it is "bacterial SSU rRNA". It matches the Rfam family "Bacterial small subunit ribosomal RNA", at positions 28 to 351 of the family's 1533-position model. The record is from RNAcentral. Lineage: Bacteria; Bacillati; Chloroflexota.